GUAGGUGGCAAGCGUUGUCCGGAAUUAUUGGGCGUAAAGCGCGCGUAGGCGGUCCUUUAAGUCUGAUGUGAAAGCCCACGGCUCAACCGUGGAGGGUCAUUGGAAACUGGGGGACUUGAGUACAGAAGAGGAAAGCGGAAUUCCAAGUGUAGCGGUGAAAUGCGUAGAGAUUUGGAGGAACACCAGUGGCGAAGGCGGCUUUCUGGUCUGUAACUGACGCUGAGGCGCGAAAGCGUGGGGAGCAAACAGGAUUAGAUACCCUGGUAGUCCACGCCGUAAACGAUGAGUGCUAAGUGUUAGGGGGUUUCCCGCCCCCCUUAGUGCUGCAGCUAACGCAUUAAGCACUCCGCCUGGGGGAGUACGGCCGCAAGGCUG
Molecule: ribosomal RNA, 375 nt
Filed under: uncultured organism
Description: partial 16S ribosomal RNA
Rfam family: Bacterial small subunit ribosomal RNA
Source: RNAcentral